GUGAUGCGAGGAAGCGGACUACAAAAAGUGACCCAAGACAAAAAUAGUGAAGGGUUCAUUCAUGGCACCAAGUGCAUUAGGAAGGGGAUGGGAACGUAGACAUCAAUCAAGAUCAUUUUUUUCUAUGAAAUCCACACAAAUGCAUAUUGGAUCAAUUGCACAUAAUCCAUUAGAGCUACAUGAUGACAUCUCUCCAUUUUAAGAUGUUGAUUCUAGGGAAGAAAAAAAUGGAAUACAAGAUCAAAUAUCUGAAUAAGUGUAUGAAGAUUUUGAUAUUAUGCAAAAUAAUAUGAGAAGCAAGCGUCAAAGUAAUAGCACUUUUGUAAAAGAGGAUCCAGUGCAGGAACAAGCACAAAGGUCCAAAUAAUUAUUAUCAUAUGCAUUAUUAUUAAUUUAUAUUCAUCAUACUUAUUUAUUAUUGAUACAUUGUUUCUAUACUAUUAAUGAAGUUCUAAAGACUUAUUUUUUUUAUAUAUUGCUGUUAUGCAAAAGAAGAGAAAAACAAGGGGUAUGAAUAAAGGUAAAAGGGUUGCAGCACUGAAGGAUGAUGAGAAAUUGAAUGUGGUUUUUUUAUAAUAAUCGAGUUAUUAGAGAAAAUUGUACGGAAUGGUUAAGACAUUUGGGCAAAAUAGUGCAUGAUUAUAACAUUUAUUCAAUAAGAGUGCACUCGUAGAAGGAAAUUGGAGAAUAUACAAAUGAUCAUAUGUGGAAUUCAGUCAAGGUACUUUUACUUUUGACUAAACUUUUGAUUGAUUUUUAAUAUGUACUUAUUCAUACAUUCUAACUCUUUUUAUAGGAGAAAUUUAAAAAUGAUAACAUUGAGUUAUAUCAAGAAAAGUCUUUGGAGCAUAUAAAUCAAUUAUAGAAUAAUUGGAGAGGAGAUUGAAAUGCCACAAGAUAAUGCCUAGUAGUUCCUUUCCAGAGGUGUUGAAAAAUGUUCCUUAAAGAAUGUAUCAAGAAGAUUGGGAGCGAUUAGUUAAGAAUCAUUUAUCCACAAAAAAGUUUAAGAAUCAAAUUCAUGAUGUCAUUCAAUCCAACCCCUCUUCAUUUCAUUUGGAGGUGGUAGAAUUAUAUUUUAAAACACAACAUUGUGAUCAUGUAAUUGGUUAUGAGGUUGGAAUGAAAGCAAAAAAGGUCAAGAAAUCUCAUUCCAAUGUUGGCCUUCAAGAGGAGAAUCGAUUGCUUAAGGAUCGGUUGUCUAAAGUAGAAGUUAGGAUGAAAUACCUUGAGGAGUUAUUAUUGAGCCAACAUUCUAAUGCUCAAUUUGGAACUCCUCCAUCUACAAAUUAUUCUACAUGAUUGUGAUUAGAUGUGAUUUUGCAAAUGGUGAAUGAAUUGAAGUAAUUUUUUGGGGGAAGUAGAAAAAGACACUGGGAAGGAUAAAGAGAAAGUGAGUCAAGGCCAAGAGACGACUCAUAAAAGGUAGAGAUACAGAUAAAGCAGUAGAUUAGACUAAUUGUGGCUAGAAGUGACUGCACUUUUGGAUUUUGUCAGGUAUAUAGAUUAUACUCCUUGUAAACUUUUUAUUUUAAUGUAUAUGAACUGUAUGUAUGUAAUGUAAUUGGUCUU
Long non-coding RNA from Hevea brasiliensis (rubber tree), 1569 nucleotides. RefSeq lists it as uncharacterized. The transcript has 6 exons. The record is from RefSeq and is a predicted model, not a curated record. NCBI's taxonomy places the organism in Eukaryota, Viridiplantae, Streptophyta, Magnoliopsida, Malpighiales, Euphorbiaceae.